AAUUUUGGACAAUGGGCGCAAGCCUGAGCCAGCCAUGCCGCGUGAGUGAAGAAGGCCUUCGGGUGGUAAAGCUAUUUCGGACGGAAAGAAAUUGCGCAGGCCAAUACCCUGCGCGGAUGACGGUACCGGCCGAAGUAGCACCUGCGAACUACGUCACAGCUGCCGCGGUAAUACGUAGGGUGCGAGCGUUAAUCGGAAUUACUGGGCGUAAAGCGAUCGCAGGCAGUUGAUUAAGACGGGCGUGAAAUCCCCGGGCUUAACCUGGGAACUGCGCUUGUGACUGGUCAGCUAGAGUACGGCAGAGGGGGGUGGAAUUCCACGUGUAGCAGUGAAAUGCGUAGAGAUGUGGAGGAACACCGAUGGCGAAGGCAGCCCCCUGGGCCGAUACUGACGCUCAUGCACGAAAGCGUGGGUAGCAAACAGG
RNAcentral lists this ribosomal RNA (424 nucleotides) under uncultured bacterium. RNAcentral's name for it is "partial 16S ribosomal RNA". It matches the Rfam family "Bacterial small subunit ribosomal RNA", at positions 360 to 776 of the family's 1533-position model. The record is from RNAcentral.